RNAcentral lists this long non-coding RNA (462 nucleotides) under Anser cygnoides (Swan goose). RNAcentral describes it as "lncRNA (ENSACDG00005002144.1)". The record is from RNAcentral. Lineage: Eukaryota; Metazoa; Chordata; Aves; Anseriformes; Anatidae.
AUGAUGGAGAACCCAGAAAAAUAUCAUGAGGAGGUUUAUGAAUGGGACCCAGACAGUGAGAACCUGGACGAAGCAGCAAAGGAAGAAGUAGAUAGAAGCACAAAGAAGGAACCAGACUUCUUAGACACAGGCAGUAAUUCACCUCCCACAGCCAAGAGAGAUUCUUCUGAAGGGCUAACCACACAGCAGGGAACCACAGGAAAAAAAUCAUAUCUAGAUUCAAUUUUUGGCGAGUUGCCACCAAAGUCACUGAUCAAGACCAACCUUCUCUUUGCAAAACCUCCACGUCCGAAGACAUCAUAUAAGCCAUCAAGCAGACUUUGUCCCCUUUCCAUUAACAAACAGAUCGUCGUGACCGAUGAAAAAGGAGACCAGGGUGCGAAAGCGGGAGUCCUGAAAACUCGCAACGAGAGGGAGGGAGUCUGCACAAAAACAUCCAGUGCGUUGGUCAGACACUCCUAA